AACGAACGCUGGCGGCAGGCUUAACACAUGCAAGUCGAACGAUCUCUUCGGAGAUAGUGGCAGACGGGUGAGUAACGCGUGGGAACCUACCUUAUUCUACGGAAUAACAGUUAGAAAUGACUGCUAAUACCGUAUACGCCCUUCGGGGGAAAGAUUUAUCGGAGUAAGAUGGGCCCGCGUUGGAUUAGCUAGUUGGUGAGGUAAUGGCUCACCAAGGCGACGAUCUAUAGCUGGUCUGAGAGGAUGAUCAGCCACACUGGAACUGAGACACGGUCCAGACUCCUACGGGAGGCAGCAGUGGGGAAUAUUGGACAAUGGGGGCAACCCUGAUCCAGCCAUGCCGCGUGAGUGAUGAAGGCCCUAGGGUUGUAAAGCUCUUUCAACGGUGAAGAUAAUGACGGUAACCGUAGAAGAAGCCCCGGCUAACUUCG
This 431-nucleotide ribosomal RNA is filed under the name uncultured Phyllobacteriaceae bacterium. Its description in RNAcentral is "bacterial SSU rRNA". It matches the Rfam family "Bacterial small subunit ribosomal RNA", at positions 29 to 505 of the family's 1533-position model. Lineage: Bacteria; Pseudomonadati; Pseudomonadota; Alphaproteobacteria; Hyphomicrobiales; Phyllobacteriaceae. The record is from RNAcentral.